AUUUAAACAAAACCUAGGGAUAUUUUUUUAGCUAUUUUUUCUUUUCCUGCUGACUUGCAGUGGUGGAAGGAAUGUUGAAAUAUUUGACUUGAGUAAAACUGUAGAAGAUUAGCAACAAUAUCUACUUAAAAGGCACUCGCAGCUGCUAAUGCCUUUGUUCAGUGGUGUGGUUGACUAGUGACAAAUUGACUGAUUUGUAUGAUGGAGACACUGAGAUGGAGAAGUUGCCGAUGAGACGCUGGAAGCUGGCAGGAAUGAUUUACAGCCUCAAAAGCAUGGCGG
Molecule: long non-coding RNA, 282 nt
Organism: Micropterus dolomieu (smallmouth bass)
Lineage: Eukaryota; Metazoa; Chordata; Actinopteri; Centrarchiformes; Centrarchidae
Exons: 3
Source: RefSeq, a predicted model, not a curated record